GUCCACGCCCUAAACGAUGCAUAUUUGGUGUGGGCAGUUCAUUCUGUCCGUGCCGGAGCUAACGCGUUAAAUAUGCCGCCUGGGGAGUACAGUCGCAAGGCUUAAACUCAAAGUAAUUGACGGGGGCCCGCACAAGCGGUGGAGCAUGUGGUUCAAUUCGACGCAACGCGAAGAACCUUACCUGGGCUCGAACGGCUGGUCAACGGAGGUGGAAACAUCUUUACCCCGCAAGGGGGUCCAGUCGAGGUGCUGCAUGGCUGUCGU
This 264-nucleotide ribosomal RNA is filed under the name uncultured bacterium. RNAcentral describes it as "partial 16S ribosomal RNA". It matches the Rfam family "Bacterial small subunit ribosomal RNA", at positions 793 to 1055 of the family's 1533-position model. The record is from RNAcentral.